Dromaius novaehollandiae (emu) is the source of this 1071-nucleotide long non-coding RNA. RefSeq lists it as uncharacterized. The record is from RefSeq and is a predicted model, not a curated record. The transcript has 3 exons. NCBI's taxonomy places the organism in Eukaryota, Metazoa, Chordata, Aves, Casuariiformes, Dromaiidae.
CCAUAAAGAGGGAGCGAGGAGGCAGAGGCCCCUCUCUAGGAGGGUUUCCUGAGUUUGCUAGAUAGGAGACCACACCCAGGCAGAGAGGAGACACCAGAGUGUAAUUCAUACCACAGCUGCUGUUUACAGUGCUUAUGAAAAAUGAUGAAUCGGCAACCUUGCAGAAUCAAGCACCCAAAGGAUAUGCUGCCUUGACACCUGUGAUGUCUGGUUUUGAGUGGUAUGCUGGACUAUCGAGGUGGAAAGGCCUUUAUACACAAAAAAGCUCCAUCUCUAGUUUUUACCUGGCUGCUGAAAUUGGUUUCCCCAGAACGUUCAGUGAGGAAGAAUUGAGAAAAGAGGCUGAACAUAAAGUAUCAUCUUUUGGGGCUCUACAUCUCCUAACAUUUGAAAGUCUUGGUGAAGAGAAAGGUGAGUGAAAGUACAGUUGACAGCUCUGCUAUUUUCUCACCAUAUGAGCCCAGAUUAGGGGACACCCUCUCUUUGCAUCACAGAGAUAAUGUCUUAGUGUGUAUCACAAAUUGUAGCUUUAUGGUAGUGCCUAUAGACAAGGGUCCCCUUGUGUGACACACUACAAACAUAAGUAAGGCUAUUUUGCAGCUACCCAAAUUAAAAAAAAAACACAUUAGAGAAAUCUGAGCAAAAAAAAUAGAAGAUGCCUCAGCUGCAGAACAGUUUCAGUGCAUUGACUGCCUAAUAGUGGAAAAGAUUUUGGAAAGCAAUUGAGACGUUUUAAGGAGAGUAGUGAUGAGGGCCUUGCAUGUGUGAAGCCUAAGCCUCUCCAGGACUUAAGGAGAGCUAGAUAAGAUGCUUAUUAGACUGUUUUAGAAGCUGAUGGAUAGCUGUUAAUCUUUCUGCUAGUAUUUCCCAGCAGUGUUUUGAGUUCAAAGCAGUUAGAAAUUAUUAUCACAUUAUACAAAAGGGGGCCUAAACUUAGUCAAUAAUCACGUAAUACAGAUCACUAAGGAAGGGGUGACUUCUAUAUGCUGCCAGCAAAAUGGAAAUUCAGAUCAGUAACUCAGGAGUAAAUUUCCAAAUAUGGGAAAUUAGGCUCUAAUACAGGAAAGAAAA